This 587-nucleotide ribosomal RNA is filed under the name uncultured bacterium. RNAcentral describes it as "bacterial SSU rRNA". It matches the Rfam family "Bacterial small subunit ribosomal RNA", at positions 337 to 916 of the family's 1533-position model. The record is from RNAcentral.
UCCUACGGGAGGCAGCAGUGGGGAAUAUUGGACAAUGGGGGCAACCCUGAUCCAGCCAUGCCGCGUGUGUGAAGAAGGCCCUCGGGUUGUAAAGCACUUUCAGCGAGGAAGAACGCCUAGCGGUUAAUACCCGCUAGGAAAGACAUCACUCGCAGAAGAAGCACCGGCUAACUCCGUGCCAGCAGCCGCGGUAAUACGGAGGGUGCAAGCGUUAAUCGAAAUUACUGGGCGUAAAGCGCGCGUAGGUGGCUUGAUAAGCCGGUUGUGAAAGCCCCGGGCUCAACCUGGGAACGGCAUCCGGAACUGUCAAGCUAGAGUGCAGGAGAGGAAGGUAGAAUUCCCGGUGUAGCGGUGAAAUGCGUAGAGAUCGGGAGGAAUACCAGUGGCGAAGGCGGCCUUCUGGACUGACACUGACACUGAGGUGCGAAAGCGUGGGUAGCAAACAGGAUUAGAUACCCUGGUAGUCCACGCCGUAAACGAUGUCGACCAGCCGUUGGGUGCCUAGCGCACUUUGUGGCGAAGUUAACGCGAUAAGUCGACCGCCUGGGGAGUACGGCCGCAAGGUUAAAACUCAAAUGAAUUGACGG